AUACUUACCUGGACGCGGUGUAUAUGGCUGAUCAUGAAGGGUCAUGGCCUAGAUUAGUGACUUCCAAUGCACUUUGGAAGGGCGCUCGUCUAAGAUGUCCCCAUUAAGGGAGAGUCUACGUCAUAAUUUGUUCCCGAGGGGAACGUGUCCGCGCGGCACUUUG
Molecule: small nuclear RNA, 163 nt
Organism: Papaver somniferum (opium poppy)
Lineage: Eukaryota; Viridiplantae; Streptophyta; Magnoliopsida; Ranunculales; Papaveraceae
Product: U1 spliceosomal RNA
Exons: 1
Source: RefSeq, a predicted model, not a curated record